GGGUUGUGAGGUUAAGCGACUAAGCGUACACGGUGGAUGCCCUGGCAGUCAGAGGCGAUGAAGGGCGUGCUAAUCUGCGAUAAGCGCCGGUAAGGUGAUAUGAACCGUUAUAACCGGCGAUACCCGAAUGGGGAAACCCAGUGUGACUCGUCACACUAUCAUUAACUGAAUCCAUAGGUUAAUGAGGCGAACCGGGGGAACUGAAACAUCUAAGUACCCCGAGGAAAAGAAAUCAACCGAGAUUCCCCCAGUAGCGGCGAGCGAACGGGGAGGAGCCCAGAGCCUGAAUCAGCAUGUGUGUUAGUGGAAGCGUCUGGAAAGGCGCGCGAUACAGGGUGACAGCCCCGUACACAAAAGCGCAUGUGCUGUGAGCUCGAUGAGUAGGGCGGGACACGUGGUAUCCUGUCUGAAUAUGGGGGGACCAUCCUCCAAGGCUAAAUACUCCUGACUGACCGAUAGUGAACCAGUACCGUGAGGGAAAGGCGAAAAGAACCCCGGCGAGGGGAGUGAAAAAGAACCUGAAACCGUGUACGUACAAGCAGUGGGAGCACCCUUUGGGUGUGACUGCGUACCUUUUGUAUAAUGGGUCAGCGACUUAUAUUCUGUAGCAAGGUUAACCGAAUAGGGGAGCCGGAGGGAAACCGAGUCUUAAUUGGGCGUUAAGUUGCAGGGUAUAGACCCGAAACCCGGUGAUCUAGCCAUGGGCAGGUUGAAGGUUGGGUAACACUAACUGGAGGACCGAACCGACUAAUGUUGAAAAAUUAGCGGAUGACCUGUGGCUGGGGGUGAAAGGCCAAUCAAACCGGGAGAUAGCUGGUUCUCCCCGAAAGCUAUUUAGGUAGCGCCUCGUGAAUUCAUCUCCGGGGGUAGAGCACUGUUUCGGCUAGGGGGCCAUCCCGGCUUACCAACCCGAUGCAAACUGCGAAUACCGGAGAAUGUUAUCACGGGAGACACACGGCGGGUGCUAACGUCCGUCGUGAAGAGGGAAACAACCCAGACCGCCAGCUAAGGUCCCAAAGUCAUGGUUAAGUGGGAAACGAUGUGGGAAGGCCCAGACAGCCAGGAUGUUGGCUUAGAAGCAGCCAUCAUUUAAAGAAAGCGUAAUAGCUCACUGGUCGAGUCGGCCUGCGCGGAAGAUGUAACGGGGCUAAACCAUGCACCGAA
Molecule: ribosomal RNA, 1164 nt
Filed under: Salmonella enterica subsp. enterica serovar Enteritidis
Lineage: Bacteria; Pseudomonadati; Pseudomonadota; Gammaproteobacteria; Enterobacterales; Enterobacteriaceae
Description: partial 23S ribosomal RNA
Rfam family: Bacterial large subunit ribosomal RNA
Source: RNAcentral